RNAcentral lists this ribosomal RNA (305 nucleotides) under uncultured bacterium. Its description in RNAcentral is "bacterial SSU rRNA". It matches the Rfam family "Bacterial small subunit ribosomal RNA", at positions 333 to 635 of the family's 1533-position model. The record is from RNAcentral.
GGGAGCCUACGGGGGGCAGCAGUGAGGAAUAUUGGUCAAUGGGCGGGAGCCUGAACCAGCCAAGUCGCGUGAGGGAGGACGGUCCUAUGGAUUGUAAACCUCUUUAGGCGGGGAGCAAUGCCGGGCACGUGUGCCCGGAGGGAGAGUACCCGAAGAAAAAGCAUCGGCUAACUCCGUGCCAGCAGCCGCGGUAAUACGGAGGAUGCGAGCGUUAUCCGGAUUUAUUGGGUUUAAAGGGUGCGCAGGCGGACCAUCAAGUCAGCGGUAAAAUCGUGGGGCCCAACCCCAUCCCGCCGUUGAAACUG